GGGCAGCGGGCCCCAGGCGUCGGCGCGGGCGGACGGACGGCCUGACGGGCGGGUCCCCCGAAGUUCUGGGCAGCCGUGUUCACCUGGCUGGUAUGGCCGUCGGUAAAGGGAUCUUCCUGAUCCAGGGAUCGAACCCAGGUCUCCCGCAUCGCUGGCGGAUUCUUUAUCGUCUGAGCCACCACGGAAAGCCAAAUUGCACUGGCCAGGUCUUUCUAGCACAGUGCUGAAUGGAAGCAGUGAGAGUGGGCACCCUGUCUUAUUCCUGGUCGCAGUGGGAAAGCUUUGAACAUCUCACCAUAAGAUAAUCCUGGCCUCGUAAAAUGAACUGGAGUGUUCGGCUCUUCAGUUUUUUCAACUACCCAACAAAUUGAACUUGACUCUGAAAUCUACCUGAAACAAACUGCCUGGAGUACUUUGAGAAGCAAGUGGACUUAGUUUGGCACCUAAGAAAUUUGAAGUAGUAAUAAUAACAUGAUAAGUAGAUAAAUGGUUACUGGGUACAUGGUUUGGCAUCUAAGAAAAUUGAAAUAAUAUGAUAACAGAAAUAAUAAUUUGUUCAGUUGCUAAGUUGUGUUCGACUCUUUGCAACCGCACAGACCAGUAGCCCACCAGAUGUGUCCAUGGGAUUCUCCAGGCAAGAUUACUGGAGUGGGUUGCAUAUCUUCUAGGAGAUUUUCCUGACCCAGGGAUCAAAGCUGCAUCUCCUGCUUCCCCUGCAUUGCAGGCAAAUUUUUCACUGCUGAGCCACUGGGGAAGCCCAUAUAAUAGCUUAUAAUAAGUAAAUAAAUGGUUACUAGCUAUAAGCUAGAACUGCAGUAACACCUAUCCGCCUCAUCUCAUGAAUUUCUCAAGAAACACUCAAUAACCCAAGAAAAUGAGCACAGGCCCACACAGAUGAGACAGUGUGAGGACAAGCAGGAAGCUGACUGGGGUGAGUGGAUGUUGUUGUUCAGUCGCUAAGUCAUGUCCACCUCUUUGUGACCCUGUGAACUGCAGCACGCCAGGCUUCCCUGUCCUUCACCAACUCCCAGGGUCACUUUCAGGACUGGCGUGCUGCAGCUUGUGAGGUGAGGGGAUGGGGGUUUGGUAAACCAAACUGCUGCCAAGAGCAUGAUUGCAGAAAACACAAGCAGCUGAUGUGAAGGAGUGACAGUAUUCAAGCACCGCUCAAGUAGGGAAGCAAGUGGUGCGUGGCGGGCUGGUGUCUUGGAUAAUACGGGAAGCGUGGCUCGCUGGGGAUGUGGGUGGGUGAGCGGCAGCUGGGAUGGAGUGGAGUGGCGUCACUGCAGAAGGCCAAAUAAUUGCCUAAGAACUUCCGGCGCUUUCCUCCGAGUCCUCAGAGUGCUGACGGAAACAAGAAGUAUCAGGCCACGUGAGCCCAGGAAGAUUGCCUUGCCUUUCUGGCUCUCAGACCAAACAAGGAGAAGGCCGAACUGUCUGAGGUCCCGAGCAGUAUUAACUCUCUGACUGCACUGUGCUUCAGCCAUAAACCAUCAGACUGUUUUUUCAGGGAGAGGUGCCUGAGCAUGAUUGCAGAAAACACCUCCAGGGGCCAGGGGGCAGGGUGGCCAGUGACCACAGGUGUGAGCGUUACUCUGGGCUGUAAGCAAAAUGAAAAUGGGCUGGUGAUUCACUAGCACAUUCAGUGACCCGCCCCUCUCUGGGGAGACCAGGAGCACCCUACCCCAUUUGCCGAGGCCUAGACAGCCAGCCCCUGGCCUGUGCCUCUGUGUGUGUGAUCUUUCCACAGCUUUUUUCUCUUCUGUAUUGUGGCAAGAUACAUACCUUGUUCAUUUUCACGCUGUAAACAGUUCUGCUAUGUGACCAUAUUACAAUUUUCUUAUCUCUUCUGCAGUUGGUAAAAUGUAGGCUAUCUCUGCAUAUAUUUUUGUUGUUAUUACAAAUAAUAUGGCUCUGAACACCCUUAUACAUGUGUAUAUAUUAAUAUGCUGGGUUGUAGGAGUGGAGUUACUGAGAUUUAAAAUGAUUUUCCAACGUGAUGGCAAUAAUUUACAUUCUUACCAGCAGUGGGUGAAAAUACCCUUAUCACCAGACUUCUUAAUUUUUGUCAACCUGUGGGGUCUUAUUUGAGUUUUUUAAUUUCUAGUGAGGUUGAACUUUUCAUUUGUUUUUCCUCUUCACUGAUUUGCCUAUUCAUAUUUUUGCCAAUUUUAAACAUUAGGUUUAUAUUUUUUACUAUGAAAUCUAUAGUAACUGUAUCCUGAACACUAAUAUUAUAUGGAUAAAUGUUCAUUCUGUGGCCUAUUUGGUUUGUCUUUUGAGAAAUUCAAGUGUUCAUUUUAACAUAAUUAUGUGGACCAGCCUUUUCCUCUUUCCCAAGGAGAAUGCACGCUGUCCAUCGCGAUUCUAAUCCUCUUAAAGACCUCCCCCAGCCCAAGCCUGGAUCCCCACCUCGUGGUGAGGGGACCUGGGCAUCCAUCCGUGUUCUGGGCCCUCCAGUUGCCUUCCCUCUGCCGGAUUCAGCCUGUCCCCCAGCCCUGCCUGCACCGAUCACCUCGAUACUGUCUGGGCUUCUCCCCUACUAGAUUUUAGAUGUUUGAAUCCGUUCUCCAUCCAGGUCAGUACAUCCAGGAGAACUGUGUGCACUUGGAGAGGAGAGAAGGAAGAGAACCAAAUGGAGAAAAUGCAGGAGACAGAGUUGAGGAGGAGGCGCGCCACCUGGUGGCCUAUCAGGCUGCCUGCACUGCACGCGGAGCCGCGACAACCCGGCCAUCUAGGAUCCAGGCCCGACCUCCAGCGCGGAGCACAUUGGCACAUACAGGCCGCUUGACGAUACCAGUACUCAUUAAGCAACGAGUCUGAGGGUUUCUUUUAAUUAGUAGGUUUUUUGUUUUGUUUUGUUUUUACAGUUUUUCAUUUUCAGAAAAAUUGAGCAGCUGAUACAGGGAGCUCCCGUGCCCUUGCCCCAAUAUACACAGUUUUUCCUAUUAACACUUUCAUUAGUGUUACCUGUUGGAAUUAAUGAACUGAUACUGACACAGUACUAUUAGCCAAAUUUCAUACUUUAAGGCCCAUUUUUGUACAGUUCUGUGGGUUUUGACAAAUGCUUGUAAUGAAUCCACCAUUAUAAUAUCAGAGGACAGUUUCACUGCUUUUGAAUCUCUUGGUGUUCUCCAUGAUCACCCUUCUCUCCCUACCCCCGAAUCUCUGGCAGUCACUGAUCUUUUACUGUCUGUCACCUUUUCCAAAAUGUCACAUAGAACCAUACAGUAUGUGUCCUGUUUCGGAUUGGCUUCUGUUCAGUUCAGUCACUCAGUCAUGUCCGACUCUGCAACCCCAUGAAUCGCAGCACGCCAGGCCUCUCCGUCCAUCACCAACUCCCAGAGUUUGCCCAAACUCAUGUCCAUCGAGUCGGUGAUGCCAUCCAGCCAUCUCAUCCUCUGUCGUCCCCUUCUCCUCCUGCCCCCAAUCCCUCCCAGCAUCAGGGUCUUUUCCAAUGAGUCAGCUCUUCGCAUGAGGUGGCCAAAGUACUGGAGUUUCAGCUUCAGCAUCAGUCCUUCCAAUGAACACCCAGGGCUGAUCUCCUUUAGGAUGGACUGGUUGGAUCUCCAUGCAGUCCAAGGGACUCUCAAGAGUCUUCUCUAACACCACAGUACAAAAGCAUCAAUUCUUCGGCACUCAGCCUUCUUCACAGUCCAACUCUCACAUCCAUACAUGACCACUGGAAAUACCAUAGCCCUGACUAGACGGACCUUUGUUGGCCAAGUAAUGUCUCUGCUUUUCAAUAUGCUAUCUAGGUUGGUCAUAACUUUCCUUCCAAGGAGUAAGCGCCUUUUAAUUUCAUGGCUGCAGUCACCAUCUGCAGUGAUUUUGGAGCCCCAAAAAAUAAAGCCUGACACUGUUUCCACCAUUCCCCCAUCUAUUUCCCAUGAAGUGAUAGGACCAGAUGCCAUGAUCUUAGUUUUCUGAAUGUUGAGCUUUAAGCCAACUUUUUCACUCUCCACUUUCACUUUCAUCAAGAGGCUUUUGAGUUCCUCUUCACUUUCUGCCAUAA
Long non-coding RNA from Bos taurus (domestic cattle), 4015 nucleotides. Lineage: Eukaryota; Metazoa; Chordata; Mammalia; Artiodactyla; Bovidae. The record is from Ensembl.